CCCGAUAAAGGCAAACCCGCCGCGAGGCGGGGACGCAAAGCCAGGGGUCUGGCCGAGCCAGACAGCCGGUUGCCGAAG
Molecule: non-coding RNA, 78 nt
Filed under: Bacillota bacterium
Lineage: Bacteria; Bacillati; Bacillota
Description: Firmicutes bacterium c-di-GMP sequence
Rfam family: c-di-GMP-I-GGC riboswitch aptamer
Source: RNAcentral